AACUGAUACUACCUGCGGGAACCUGCGGAAGGAUCAUUACCAAGAGAAAUCUUUCAACACUGAAAGAUCUUUUCCUUUGUGCUGGCUUUGACCGUAUGUAAUUUUGGGACUUUAAAAUGGUUCGCAAGGGCCGGUCCCAAAAACAAUAUAUCAUCCUUAUGAAAUUUUUUCUGAACAAUUAAACAAAUGAUUUUAAUAAUCUGUUUAAAACAACUUUUAACAAUGGAUCUCUAGAUCGGA
This 240-nucleotide unclassified non-coding RNA is filed under the name soil metagenome. RNAcentral's name for it is "partial contains 5.8S ribosomal RNA, internal transcribed spacer 2, and large subunit ribosomal RNA". The record is from RNAcentral.